This 1791-nucleotide ribosomal RNA is filed under the name Caulobacteraceae bacterium. RNAcentral's name for it is "partial 23S ribosomal RNA". It matches the Rfam family "Bacterial large subunit ribosomal RNA", at positions 678 to 2468 of the family's 2925-position model. Lineage: Bacteria; Pseudomonadati; Pseudomonadota; Alphaproteobacteria; Caulobacterales; Caulobacteraceae. The record is from RNAcentral.
CGAGUCCGAAUAGGGCGUCUAGUCGCUGGGUGUAGACCCGAAACCAAGUGAUCUAUCCAUGGCCAGGAUGAAGGUGCGGUAACACGCACUGGAGGUCCGAACCGACUAAUGUUGCAAAAUUAGCGGAUGAGCUGUGGAUAGGGGUGAAAGGCUAAACAAACUUGGAAAUAGCUGGUUCUCUCCGAAAACUAUUUAGGUAGUGCCUCAAGUAUUACCAUCGGGGGUAGAGCACUGUUUAGGCUAGGGGGUCAUGGCGACUUACCAAACCUAUGCAAACUCCGAAUACCGAUGAGUACAGCUUGGGAGACAGUGCACCGGGUGCUAACGUCCGGACACAAGAGGGAAACAACCCAGACCGCCAGCUAAGGUCCCUAAAAUUGGCUAAGUGGGAAACGAAGUGGGAAGGCUAAAACAGUCAGGAUGUUGGCUUAGAAGCAGCCAUCAUUUAAAGAAAGCGUAAUAGCUCACUGAUCGAGUCGUCCUGCGCGGAAGAUGUAACGGGGCUCAAGCCAGUUACCGAAGCUGCGGAUUCACAGUUUACUGUGAGUGGUAGGAGAGCGUUCUGUAAGCCUGAGAAGGUGUCUUGAGAAGGAUGCUGGAGGUAUCAGAAGUGCGAAUGCUGACAUGAGUAGCGUUAAAGGGGGUGAAAAGCCCCCUCGCCGAAAGCGCAAGGUUUCCUACGCAACGUUCAUCGGCGUAGGGUGAGUCGGCCCCUAAGGCGAGGCAGAGAUGCGUAGCUGAUGGGAAACAGGUUAAUAUUCCUGUACCGAUCUAUAGUGCGAUGUGGGGACGGAGAAGGUUAGCUCAGCCAACUGUUGGAAUAGUUGGUUCAAGCCUGUAGUCGUGCCUGGUAGGCAAAUCCGCCGGGCUUAGAUGAGGGGUGAUAACGGGUCUGCUUGCAGACGAAGUGAGUGAUACCCUGCUUCCAGGAAAAGCCACUAAGCUUCAGCUAUAGACGACCGUACCGCAAACCGACACUGGUGCGCGAGAUGAGUAUUCUAAGGCGCUUGAGAGAACUCUGGAGAAGGAACUCGGCAAAUUGACACCGUAACUUCGGAAGAAGGUGUGCCUUAAGUAGGUGAUCCUGUACAAGGGGAGCCGAACAAGGUCGCAGAGAAUCGGUGGCUGCGACUGUUUAAUAAAAACACAGCACUCUGCAAAGACGAAAGUCGACGUAUAGGGUGUGACGCCUGCCCGGUGCUGGAAGAUUAAUUGAUGGGGUGCAAGCUCUUGAUCGAAGUCCCAGUAAACGGCGGCCGUAACUAUAACGGUCCUAAGGUAGCGAAAUUCCUUGUCGGGUAAGUUCCGACCUGCACGAAUGGCGUAACGAUGGCCACACUGUCUCCUCCAGAGACUCAGCGAAGUUGAAAUGUUUGUGAUGAUGCAAUCUCCCCGCGGAAAGACGGAAAGACCCCAUGAACCUUUACUGUAGCUUUACAUUGGACUUUGAACAGAUCUGUGUAGGAUAGGUGGGAGGCUUUGAAGCAUGAACGCUAGUUUGUGUGGAGCCGACGUUGAAAUACCACCCUGGUGUGUUUGAGGUUCUAACCUUGGCCCGUUAUCCGGGUUGGGGACAGUGUAUGGUGGGCAGUUUGACUGGGGCGGUCUCCUCCCAAAGUGUAACGGAGGAGUUCGAAGGUACGCUAGCCACGGUCGGAAAUCGUGGUGAUAGUGCAUUGGCAUAAGCGUGCUUGACUGCGAGACUGACAAGUCGAGCAGGUACGAAAGUAGGACAAAGUGAUCCGGUGGUUCUGUAUGGAAGGGCCAUCGCUCAACGGAUAAAAGGUACUC